RNAcentral lists this ribosomal RNA (450 nucleotides) under uncultured bacterium. Its description in RNAcentral is "partial 16S ribosomal RNA". It matches the Rfam family "Bacterial small subunit ribosomal RNA", at positions 338 to 795 of the family's 1533-position model. The record is from RNAcentral.
CCUACGGGAGGCUGCAGUGGGGAAUUUUGGACAAUGGGCGCAAGCCUGAUCCAGCAAUGCCGCGUGCAGGAAGAAGGCCUUCGGGUUGUAAACUGCUUUUGUCAGGGAAGAAAUCCUCUGGGUUAAUACCUCGGGGGGAUGACGGUACCUGAAGAAUAAGCACCGGCUAACUACGUGCCAGCAGCCGCGGUAAUACGUAGGGUGCGUGCGUGAAUCGGAAUUACUGGGCGUAAAGCGGGCGCAGGCGGUUGAAAUCCCCGGACUUAACCUGGGAACUGCACUUGUGACUGCACGGCUAGAGUACGGUAGAGGGGGAUGGAAUUCCGCGUGUAGCAGUGAAAUGCGUAGAUAUGCGGAGGAACACCGAUGGCGAAGGCAAUCCCCUGGACCUGUACUGACGCUCAUGCACGAAAGCGUGGGGAGCAAACAGGAUUAGAUACCCGGGUAGUC